Molecule: ribosomal RNA, 253 nt
Filed under: uncultured prokaryote
Description: partial 16S ribosomal RNA
Rfam family: Bacterial small subunit ribosomal RNA
Source: RNAcentral
ACGAAGGGUGCAAGCGUUACUCGGAAUUACUGGGCGUAAAGCGUGCGUAGGUGGUUCGUUAAGUCUGAUGUGAAAUCCCUCGGCUUAACCGGGGAAUGGCAUCCGAUACUGGAUGGCUUGAGUUUGGGAGAGGGACGCGGAAUUCCAGGUGUAGCGGUGAAAUGCGUAGAUAUCUGGAGGAACACCGGUGGCGAAGGCGGCGUCCUGGACCAAUACUGACACUGAGGAGCGAAAGCCAGGGGAGCAAACGGGA